CGACUUAGCAGCGGCGGUCUCCAACGGGUUUUCGUGUAUUACGGUGGACUCCACAGCGGCGCGAAAUCUCCUUCGAUUUCUGCAGCAUUGCGACGUCUCCGACACACCACGUAGUUGCUGCAACCACGAACGGCGGUGGUGGUGUGUUGGACAACAGCAACGCCAAUGGUUAUUUGUGUCCAACAAAUCUCCGGUGACCCACGGCCGUGUGUAUUCCAAUGACCACCAACAGCUCCGUUCAGUGGUGUUUGCUCCCUUCCGGCGACGUUAGACAAUUACCCACACAUAAUCGGAACUUGAUUCAUGAUAUCCACUCUAUUCGACAUUAGUUAAGCGUUGACCCACCUCUAAUUGGACUCAAAUCAGCAUUACCCAGCAUUACCCAUAACUGUUUGACAUCAAAUCAGCAAGCCUAAGGCCAUUCGAAGUCGAAUUUUGGAGCCCGAACAUCCUCAGCGUCGACCCACUCCUAACCCAAGAGGUUUUAAGGUGAGAUAGUAGGUAAUGGAUCACCUAAACUUAGUUUCGAUGCAAAUUAAGUGUUUCUAACAUGAACUCUAAUCAAGUUUGGUUUGCUUUUGGAUUUAGGAACCCUUCAAUGAGCUUAGUAGUGCUCUGGGACAUUGUUUGUAAGUAGUCCUUACUUGAGGGGAUUGUUUGCUGUAUGCGUUUGUUUGAUUGUGGGCCUAUUAAGUGUCUUUUGAAUGAUUGUUUGAGAUUUAUGAUACUUUGUAAAUGUUGUUUACAUUAUAAUUGUUGAGUAACAUUUGGAAAUACAUGUAGAUGUGGGAUAUACUGUAUUAUGAGCUAUAUACAUGUUGGAUAUAAUAUUGGUUAGCCAAGUUGGAUUGAUGUUGUGUCCUGGUUGGGCUGAAUGUGAAAGUUGUGUUAACUGUUUUGGCUCUAUGACUUGUUGUGUUUGGAGCAUGCUGACUUUGUCGUGCAACUUGUAUUUGAAAAUGAACUAUUGCGAACUUGUUUUGUAGGAUAUAUGUUGGCUUUCUAUUUUCGAAUCUAGAGCAUGCUGACAGUUGAGAGAAAGAAUUAGGGAAAGUUGCUGAACUGCAGUAGACUUAAAGGAGAAGUGUCGGAGCUUUGUAGUGCCAGAGCAUGCUAUGCUGGAACAAUCUUACGUGGUAGCAAGUCGAGGCAGCGUAGUAACUUUCCUAAUCUUGAAUUUUAAGAGCAUAUGUACAAGAGGUGCAUUGCCUAAAAUUGAGGCUCGAUAUAAAAGCAUAUGCUGACCGAACCGACAAAACCAAUCCCAAGAUAGGAAAUUAUUCCAAAUUUAGUGUUCAAGCUAAGGAGAGCAAACCUCAUUUUUUAGGAGGAGAUGAUGAAAGAAGUUGGUGCCACUGGGUUUUUCAUUGAAUCGGAGGUUGUAGCAGAUUUAAAACUGCUAUUUCAUGAAAUGGGUUGUUUCUUUUCUUUACACAUUGUAUUCUUCACAUUCCCCAUCAACUAAACCCCAUUUUUUGGGUAGGGGGAAUCCUUUGUUGUAACUCAUGAACAUAGAUUUUCUAGCAUGUUUCUAUUGCUGAUAAAUAAAGUUGAUUUAAUGCUUUCAUCUUA
Molecule: non-coding RNA, 1572 nt
Organism: Momordica charantia (bitter melon)
Lineage: Eukaryota; Viridiplantae; Streptophyta; Magnoliopsida; Cucurbitales; Cucurbitaceae
Source: RefSeq, a predicted model, not a curated record